CCCUUAGAUGUUCUGGGCUGCACGCGCGCUACACUGAAGCUAUCAACACGUUUUCCCUCCCUGAGAAGGGCGGGUAACCUUUUGAAUCAGCUUCGUGGUAGGGAUCGGGGCUUGCAAUUGUUCCCCGUGAACCAGGAAUUCCUAGUAGACGCGAGUCAUAAGCUCGCAUCGAUUAAGUCCCUGCCCUUUGUACACACCGCCCGUCGCUACUACCGAUUGAACGUUUUAGUGAGGCACUUGGACCGACGCAUCUCAGUUUAACCGCUGGUUUGUGUUGGAAAGACUUCCAAACUUGAGCGUUUAGAGGAAGUAAAAGUCGUAACA
RNAcentral lists this ribosomal RNA (324 nucleotides) under uncultured eukaryote. RNAcentral's name for it is "partial 18S ribosomal RNA". It matches the Rfam family "Eukaryotic small subunit ribosomal RNA", at positions 1470 to 1796 of the family's 1831-position model. The record is from RNAcentral.